Molecule: ribosomal RNA, 253 nt
Filed under: uncultured bacterium
Lineage: Bacteria
Description: partial 16S ribosomal RNA
Rfam family: Bacterial small subunit ribosomal RNA
Source: RNAcentral
UACGAAGGGAGCUAGCGUUGUUCGGAAUCACUGGGCGUAAAGCGCACGUAGGCGGAUGUGUCAGUCAGGGGUGAAAUCCCGGAGCUCAACUUCGGAACUGCCCUUGAUACAGCACGUCUUGAGUCCGGAAGAGGUGGGUGGAAUUCCUAGUGUAGAGGUGAAAUUCGUAGAUAUUGGGAAGAACACCGGUGGCGAAGGCGGCUCACUGGCUCAUUUCUGACGCUCAGGCGCGACAGCGUGGGGAUCAAACAGG